Long non-coding RNA from Piliocolobus tephrosceles (Ugandan red Colobus), 470 nucleotides. RefSeq lists it as uncharacterized. Lineage: Eukaryota; Metazoa; Chordata; Mammalia; Primates; Cercopithecidae. The record is from RefSeq and is a predicted model, not a curated record. The transcript is spliced from 3 exons.
GAGGACGACCUGGACACCUGCUUGUCAGGCGAUGCUGUUUACUCUGGAGGGAGUGACGGUGACUUGUGUAUCGCUGGGCAUCCCUGGGGACGUAGCUCACCCGGGUUCCUAUCCCACAUAAGGUAUGCUCUGCUGGAUCCAGAGGGAGGACUGCUUCCACCAGGAGAGACAAUUGAACUAAAUUCCAUUGAACUAGAAGUUAAGACUGCCAUCCAACCACUUUGGGCUCCCCUCGUGCCUCUGAGUCAACAGGCCAAUAAGGGAGUUAUGGUGUUGGCUGGGGACUACCAUGACUACCAUGGGGAAAUCUGACAUAAAAGAGUGUGGUUCUUGUUUGGACGAAUGGAAGCAAGAUGGUGCACUUCCGGGUUCUUCUUCACCACCAACUCUUCCCGCACGUGUGAAAAUGCAGCCGGCGCCCGGGAAAGUGCAGAUCAACUGGGCAUGCGCCAGGUGACGUCAAUCCGAAG